CAUCCAAAAAUACUUUUUCUACCAUGCAUAUUAGAUAUGUAUAAAUAACUUAUAAACUUGUACAUAUCUUAAGCCCAGAUUUUCUCAGGGGGGGCAACAAUUUUGCCAGGGAACGCCACUGGCUAUCGUAUGUUAUAGGCUCCAAAGGCGCCAGAAUCCCUUGUAAUGUGGUCCACUGUUCACCCAGUGUUCUUUUAAGCAAAUGUGCCUGCUCAAAAAUGCAAAAUCUUGCAAGCCUGUGGACGCAAUACUGAAGUGAAGAA
Paramuricea clavata is the source of this 263-nucleotide non-coding RNA. The record is from the annotation of a GenBank genome assembly. Lineage: Eukaryota; Metazoa; Cnidaria; Anthozoa; Malacalcyonacea; Plexauridae.